Vespula vulgaris is the source of this 1085-nucleotide long non-coding RNA. RefSeq lists it as uncharacterized. The record is from RefSeq and is a predicted model, not a curated record. The transcript has 4 exons. NCBI's taxonomy places the organism in Eukaryota, Metazoa, Arthropoda, Insecta, Hymenoptera, Vespidae.
UAACGUUAGCCAACAUCAUGAAGAUGAAAAAUUAUGAGCAUACUUUCGUCAUUGUCAUUAUAAUUUGUGAAAUUUAUUAAUAUUCUUACUUGACUUUUUAUUUUUUUUCUCUUCGUAGCGUAACAAAGUUUUUAUCUUGAUUGUUGUGUGAAGUUUCUUUAUUAUUUCAAAUGAUUCGUGAAUUAGCUGUAAGACUUGUAUCUGGUUAACAAUGGAAAAUCAUGCAAAUCGUGCUUGAUAACUGUUCACUUAUGGUAUAUUAAGGAAUUUUCUUGUGAUUGAGUGACGUUGAUCGUUCGGAUAGUACGAGAGAAAUCAAAAGUUAGUCGGUUCAAGUCAUCUGUAUUUACCAAUAAGACAAUCGAGUCUUAUCAACAUUAUUGAUCCAAAAUUCAAUAAACUACACAUUGUAUCUCGACUGUCCGGGAUUGUUAUUGCUAGGCGCGCAAUAUAGUCAUGUAAGUAAAUAUAGAUGAGUGUACAUGAGUAAGUCGGAAAAAACAAUAUGAUUUGAAAGACAAAAGAGGACGUUCUGUAAGAACUUGUUGACAUCGAAUCGUUAAUAGCCUGAUUAUAUAUUAUCGUUCAAAAUUAUUUUGCGAAAAAACUGCCAAACAUUCCUUAAAAACCUCGAUCGUACAUAUACAUAUGUGUAUAGACGUAAUCUUAUUUUAUAUUAAUAAAGAUCUGUCACAUUUUGCAGAUUAUAAUAUAUAAGAAGCUACAAAUUGAUGAAACUCAAUACAGUAUAGUGAAGAUCGUAUCUUAUUUUGUAUCGUUUCUCGUAAGUACGAGUAAGUAAAAAGUAAGUAAACAAGUGUGUUAAAAAAUUUCUAAUAAAUUCUGGUGUAAGAACGUACAUUAAGCAUAGAAGAACUUUCUGUUAUUCUAUUUUGGUUGGCAUGUGUAAGAAAUUUGUCUUUGUACAAGAAUUCAAAGACUGUGUUGGAAAGUGGGGAUAGGUGAUCUCUUUUUCAAAAUAAUACGAUACCCAUGACAACUGAUUCAUUUAUAUUAGCUUACAUCUAUAACACACUGUUCUGUGGUAUAAGUAAAUAACAUUAUUUUCUUAUUUAUUUAUUUAU